CAGCGGCAGUAAGGAA
This 16-nucleotide unclassified non-coding RNA is filed under the name Klebsiella pneumoniae subsp. pneumoniae BJ1-GA. RNAcentral describes it as "ctRNA_pT181". Lineage: Bacteria; Pseudomonadati; Pseudomonadota; Gammaproteobacteria; Enterobacterales; Enterobacteriaceae. The record is from RNAcentral.